Molecule: long non-coding RNA, 1135 nt
Filed under: Gossypium barbadense (sea-island cotton)
Lineage: Eukaryota; Viridiplantae; Streptophyta; Magnoliopsida; Malvales; Malvaceae
Description: long non-coding RNA (GBAR_LNC023328)
Source: RNAcentral
UAAAAGUCCAUUUUUGCCCGGGCCCAUACCAACAAAAUAACCCAAAUAAUAAAACCCAAAACCUAAAAUCAACCUAGCCCAACAUCCAAGCCCAAUCCCAAAACCCUAGACUCCCACUUGCCUCUUCCCAUUCUCCCAUGUUGUCUGCCACCAGCACCACUCCCACUCUCCCAUGCUGUCUGCCACCACCAUGCCUUUUGCCGCACCUGCAAACAAGCAAAGGAAAAGGACAAAAAAUGGAGCAAUAAACAUUAACAGAAUAUUGUAUUUUUGGCUAUAAAAGCCACAAGCAAAAUCGGACCAAGGAGGAAAAAAGAAGAGAAACAAAAAAAAAGAAGAGAAACAAAAAAAAGAGAAGGGGACUUUUGUAACAAAAAAGAGAAGAUUCGGCUUUUGAAAAAAUUGAAAGAAAUAAAAAAGGGGCUUUAGAAGGUGAUUCACCUUGUUUUUUUUCGUUUUCUUUAUUUUCGUUCUAUUUCGGUUUUUCUAUAGUAUUUCUUUCUCUUUUUUAUUAUCAACACACAUAUAUAUAAGAUAAAAAAAAUAAAAGUAAAAAGGAGUUUACCUGUUUCCGGCGGCGGUGGAAAGAGGAAGAACCGAAAGGUCUCUUUCGAUUUUGGCCCUUUUCGCCGGGAUUUCGGCUUUUCUAACCCUAGAUCUGGACCCUAUUCGCAAAAAGGAGAAAAAGGGAGCUUUUUUUGGUUUUCCGGCCACCGCGAACGGCGGCGUCGUCGCCGGCGUCCGGCGACCGGUGCGGUGGUCGAUGGCCGGCAAAGGGGGCUCUUCCUCUCUUUUUACGGACACAAGAACAAUAAAAACAUAAACUUUGAAUCGGAGAAGUAAUUUUCGUUUCUUUAUUUUUGUGUGUUUUUACAUCUAGUUUGAUUUCUUUCUACUUACGAAAAUAAAAACAAAAGAAAUAAGGAGAGGAGAAACUCACCGGAGUUGGCCGUGACCGUGCCGCCGGGGUUUUUCUUCCAUCGUCGGCCGUCGGUCUUGGUGGCGUGGUGGCACUCAAGGUGUUAAGAAACCCAAGUGUUGGGUGUUUAAAAAUGGUGGUUUGAAAAAAACAGAGCCUUUUUCCUCUAGCAAAUUCAAAAAGUGAAAGAAUAAAAAUAUAAAACAUUUUUUGUCU